UAAAAGACAGUAUACCUCAAUUGUAUUGCGAAGUACCAAAGGUUGUAGCUGACCGGCCUCUUUUAUGCAGGUUUAAAACGGAACAGCAGCUAAACUGUCAAAGCUCUAGAGUUUAAAAUCAAGGGAGGUUAUUGUUUGGAACAACACACCAGAGGAUCACAGGAUGAUUGGUACUGAUAUUCGAAUUAGAACAAAUCUCCUGAACAGAAAAUGAACCAAGUGUCCAAGUAUGAUGGUAGAGUUCGUAUAAGUUCAGAUUCGAUGAGUAAAAUAGAGGCUGAAUUUCAAAGGUUGGGGCUAAACAGGAAUACUUCUACUUUGGAGAGAAGAUUAACUGAUCUUGAUGAGUUUGACGAAUUGGAAGAGCUGGAGUGAUCUGAUUGGCAAUAUAUUAAAUUAACAAUGAGUCCAAGCUGCUAUCAUCACAGUUGAAGGGGGUUAUACCCUGGUGGAGAUCUUCCCUUCCUGUCCAAGACCAUGAGUUGUUA
Long non-coding RNA from Rosa rugosa (rugosa rose), 488 nucleotides. RefSeq lists it as uncharacterized. The record is from RefSeq and is a predicted model, not a curated record. The transcript is spliced from 4 exons. NCBI's taxonomy places the organism in Eukaryota, Viridiplantae, Streptophyta, Magnoliopsida, Rosales, Rosaceae.